GCGGAUCCGCGGUGCAGUCAGCUCUCCGUCUGGGACGUGAGGCUGGUGGAGCAGAGAGGCGAGCUGUGGAGCUGUGCGAGCAGGAGGCUGAACUAGCUCUGAGACUCGCCUGGCUCUGUGAGAGCAGCCUACAUCCGGGUCGCUGGUCCUCUCCCCGCCCCACUGCCUCUGGGUCAGAGGUCUUGACCCAGUGACCCGGUCCUUGUCCCACAGAAGCCAGAGGAGGAGCCCAUGGCUGAGUGCUGACUGGGAUCUCAGGCUCGCGGCUGUGGGGCCGGAAGACAGAGUUCUGGACGCCUCGAGGAGGCCGAGGCACCGACUGGGCCCGGGUUACAGCGUGAGCGCGGGCGCCAGCGGGGCAGCUGCCAGGGAGCCGGGCUUGUAGGCUCCGGUCUUGAGGCACCUCAGUGCGGACCCGGGGCUGGGUUCCGGGUUUCCAGCUGAUCCAGGCGCGGUGCACAGGUGACUAGCUCAAGGAUGGCUACACAAAAGCACUCUUUUGAAUGUUUCUGGAGUGAAUGAAUAAACCCACAACAGUCAGAACUGCAUAUGGCUUGAACAGAUCAGUUCCUUGCAGUGUUAAUGAGGGAUCAACUUAAAACGGCUGAAAAUCUAGAAAGUGGCUGCCUCAUUUAGUGAAACUAAGGGCAGUCUCUUUUUCUUCUUUAUACUAUGUAACAUUUUGGAGCCGGCAGCUGAUUCCCUGCAAGCAGGCAAGUUCCUGUGACCUGAUGGGAAACUACCUGACUUUUGGGUUCUUUAUGGUCUUCUGCUCAGUGGAAAUAAACUUGGUUUUCUCUUUUCUUGCA
Long non-coding RNA from Cavia porcellus (domestic guinea pig), 809 nucleotides. RefSeq lists it as uncharacterized. NCBI's taxonomy places the organism in Eukaryota, Metazoa, Chordata, Mammalia, Rodentia, Caviidae. The transcript is spliced from 2 exons. The record is from RefSeq and is a predicted model, not a curated record.